CCUACGGGAGGCAGCAGUAAGGAAUAUUGGACAAUGGACGCAAGUCUGAUCCAGCCAUGCCGCGUGAAGGAUUAAGGCCCUCUGGGUUGUAAACUUCUUUUAUAGGGGACGAAAAAAGGGCUUUCUAGCUCGUCUGACGGUACCCUAUGAAUAAGCACCGGCUAACUCCGUGCCAGCAGCCGCGGUAAUACGGAGGGUGCAAGCGUUAUCCGGAUUCACUGGGUUUAAAGGGUGCGUAGGCGGGCAGUUAAGUCAGUGGUGAAAUCUUCGAGCUCAACUCGGAAACUGCCAUUGAUACUAUCUGUCUUGAAUACUGUGGAGGUGAGCGGAAUAUGUCAUGUAGCGGUGAAAUGCUUAGAUAUGACAUAGAACACCGAUUGCGAAGGCAGCUCGCUACACAAAUAUUGACGCUGAGGCACGAAAGCGUGGGGAUCAAACAGGAUUAGAUACCCUGGUAGUCCACGCCCUAAACUAUGGAUACUCGACAUUUGCGAUACACAGUAAGUGUCUGAGCGAAAGCAUUAAGUAUCCCACCUGGGAAGUACGACCGCAAGGUUGAAACUCAAAUGAAUUGAGG
This 577-nucleotide ribosomal RNA is filed under the name uncultured bacterium. Its description in RNAcentral is "bacterial SSU rRNA". It matches the Rfam family "Bacterial small subunit ribosomal RNA", at positions 338 to 915 of the family's 1533-position model. The record is from RNAcentral.